Molecule: long non-coding RNA, 171 nt
Organism: Telopea speciosissima
Lineage: Eukaryota; Viridiplantae; Streptophyta; Magnoliopsida; Proteales; Proteaceae
Exons: 2
Source: RefSeq, a predicted model, not a curated record
GUUCAAUGGCUAAAUUUCAUUGCAAUAGUUUGAUCAAAUAAAUUACCAUCAUUUAAGAAGCUGCAUCUAAGUUUUUCUGAGCAAAAGCCUUUUACAUUCCCCUAUUUAGAUUGUAAUCCUUUUAGUUCUAUUAACUAAAUAUUAGAGGUACCCUACCCCCAAGAAAACAAA